GAUGAACGCUGGCGGCGUGCCUAAUACAUGCAAGUCGAGCGAACAGACGAGGAGCUUGCUCCUCUGACGUUAGCGGCGGACGGGUGAGUAACACGUGGAUAACCUACCUAUAAGACUGGGAUAACUUCGGGAAACCGGAGCUAAUACCGGAGAAUAUAUUGAACCGCAUGGUUCAAUAGUGAAAGACGGUUUUGCUGUCACUUAUAGAUGGAUCCGCGCCGCAUUAGCUAGUUGGUAAGGUAACGGCUUACCAAGGCGACGAUGCGUCGCCGACCUGAGAGGGGGCUCGGCCACCCUGGAACUGGGACACGGUCCAGACUCCUCCGGGCGGCGGCAGUAGGGAGUCUUCCGCAAUGGGCGAAUGCUUGACGGAGCAACGCCGCGUGGGUGAUGAAGGUCUUCGGAUCUUAAAACUCUGUUAUUGGGGAAGAACAAAUGUGUAAGUGACUAUGCACGUCUUGACGGUACCUACUCAGAAAGCCCCGGCUAACUACGUG
This 497-nucleotide ribosomal RNA is filed under the name uncultured bacterium. RNAcentral's name for it is "partial 16S ribosomal RNA". It matches the Rfam family "Bacterial small subunit ribosomal RNA", at positions 28 to 507 of the family's 1533-position model. The record is from RNAcentral.